GGAUGUGUGUGUCAUGUGAUGGCACAGCUGAACAUUGAUUGCUUUCAUACCCUCCACUCGAGAGCAGAUCUGUCCAGUCGCGUGUCACACGUUGGCUUUCUAGAAGCACUCCGCUGUUCUCACAUUCAUUUGCGAUGUGAUCGAAUGGCACUGAGCAGCUACUCGAACGCCGCGGAAGCAUUAGCAUUUCAUAGACGUAGUUUGUUCACAUCCAUAUACUCGGCACUACAGACUGUAGUAUGCCAGUUUUUUG
RNAcentral lists this small nuclear RNA (253 nucleotides) under Trialeurodes vaporariorum (greenhouse whitefly). RNAcentral's name for it is "arthropod 7SK RNA". It matches the Rfam family "Arthropod 7SK RNA". Lineage: Eukaryota; Metazoa; Arthropoda; Insecta; Hemiptera; Aleyrodidae. The record is from RNAcentral.